GCCAGGAUGGCGAAAUUGGCAGUCGCGCCAGACUUAGGAUCUGGUGGAGCAAUCCGUGCAGGUUCGAGUCCUGUUCCUGGCACCA
RNAcentral lists this transfer RNA (85 nucleotides) under Verrucomicrobiaceae bacterium. RNAcentral describes it as "tRNA-Leu". It matches the Rfam family "tRNA". Rfam says of the family: Transfer RNA (tRNA) molecules are approximately 80 nucleotides in length. The record is from RNAcentral. Lineage: Bacteria; Pseudomonadati; Verrucomicrobiota; Verrucomicrobiia; Verrucomicrobiales; Verrucomicrobiaceae.